AAUUGUAACUUAGUUUUGAAAGGGUCACCAUGGAAGUUUACGAAAUAGUUUCCUUCGGAAGUUUUGCUGAAGCAGGGGUCUGAGUCUUUCGUUUUUGAGACAGCACAGGAAGGGUAGGUCAGUGUAAGUGUGGGUGUGUUUAUGGGGGAGGGAGGGCUGCUGCUGACCAAUUAGGACACUUCUCAUGGGCCCUCCCUUGUGAUACAACCAAACCCGAUUCCCAGAGUGAAAACAGAAACUAGGGAAGAGAAGCUUCCCUGCUUCAUUCUCCAGAUUUGGGUGGAGUCUUGAUCAUUCUGGCAAACUUACCUGCAGAAGCAAUCCUCGUUUCCCCCUUCCACUCCGCCACAAGUGAUUUCUUCUCAUUGCCAGUUUCAAGAGAGACAGGUUGGCUCCUAGCAGCAGCACUCUAUCUCUAUUUCCUCCAAAGAAGACAGAAGACAAAUGGGCACAGAACAACGUCCAUCCGCAAUUUACUUCAUCAAGUAAAAGUGCUAACCACUGGACAAAACUGCCUUUCAUCUAAACUGAAGAUCUUUAGACGUGGACAAAGAAUCAAAUGGCAUCAACUUACCUAGCUGCUCAGGUCAAGGUAAGCUUGUCUUCCUACAGAUUUUUCUAAUCCACAGAAUCUUCUAAAACCUGGCAGGCCAGGUUCUAAACAGUAAAAGGCAAAUACAACCCUCAACGACCAUGGAGGACCCUGAGGAGAGGCUCUAGGUAGACAACCGGGUAAGUUCUCUAUCAUUUUUUAAUCAAUAACUCCUCAAAUAAAAUUUUAUCCUUCUCAAAGGUCUCUGAUGCAGUUUGAAAGCUGAGAAGUUUUGUCAGUUGAAAAGGACAACCUCACCAAAUAAACUUCAGUACAACUUCUUAACAAAUACAAGUUAUUAAGGUCCAAGAGACACAAAUCUUGGAUAGGAGUAAAGCGACCAGCUACCCCAGGAUGUGACCAGCACCCAGCUAUCUCAGGCCCCCUCCAAGAAAAACUUCGACACACACAAAUAAGCAGGAAGCAGUUUUGAGACUCCGCUGUCCCGAUUCCUUCAAUUUGCUAUGUCUAACUCCCCGCCUUUUUAUUAUAAGAAAAAGAUGGGACUGCUGGAAUCUGCUGGCCUGGCCUGUCACCUGGGUACCCUGUCCCUUUAAGAGGCAAGCCCCGCUCACUCCCAACCUCCUGAUUCUGCCAAGGCUAGUAGCUCUCUCUCUUCUCCUCCCUUCUCCCCUUUCCCCCACGUCCCUUUUCCCUAAAUAAACUCUAUACCCAAACUCCCUCUGCCUGGCAUACCUACCUGUCUCCUGCUGAGGCCUCGGGUGAUCCACUGCCACCCCUCUUGGGACGGGUCCCCCACUACCUCUUUAUAAAUGGUAACAGUCCUUCCCACUGAACCUCCUUCCCAGCAUUAAUAACCCCCUUGCCACAUUAAGGCUCUUUCCCACCCAGCGUCACCUAGCUUGUGCUUUAAGUAGCAUAUAAUACCAUUGACCAUGAAAAAUUGA
Long non-coding RNA from Arvicola amphibius (Eurasian water vole), 1500 nucleotides. RefSeq lists it as uncharacterized. Lineage: Eukaryota; Metazoa; Chordata; Mammalia; Rodentia; Cricetidae. The record is from RefSeq and is a predicted model, not a curated record. The transcript has 4 exons.